Molecule: ribosomal RNA, 245 nt
Filed under: uncultured bacterium
Lineage: Bacteria
Description: partial 16S ribosomal RNA
Rfam family: Bacterial small subunit ribosomal RNA
Source: RNAcentral
AGUAACGCGUGGGUAACCUGCCAUAUACAGGGGGAUAACACUUAGAAAUAGGUGCUAAUACCGCAUAAGCGCACAGUAUUGCAUGAGACAGUGUGAAAAACUACGGUGGUAUAUGAUGGACCCGCGUCUGAUUAGCUGGUUGGUGAGGUAACGGCCCACCAAGGCGACGAUCAGUAGCCGGCCUGAGAGGGUGGACGGCCACAUUGGGACUGAGACACGGCCCAGACUCCUACGGAAGGCAGCAG